This 74-nucleotide transfer RNA is filed under the name Atelopus bomolochos (Azuay stubfoot toad). Its description in RNAcentral is "tRNA-Leu". It matches the Rfam family "tRNA". From Rfam's summary of the family: Transfer RNA (tRNA) molecules are approximately 80 nucleotides in length. Their secondary structure includes four short double-helical elements and three loops (D, anti-codon, and T loops). RNAcentral also lists the same sequence under 9 other names. Lineage: Eukaryota; Metazoa; Chordata; Amphibia; Anura; Bufonidae. The record is from RNAcentral.
GUUUACGUAGCAAAAUCUGGCCAAUGCAAAAGAUCUAAGCCCUUUUUAUGGAAGUUCAAAUCUUCUCGUAAACU